Molecule: ribosomal RNA, 504 nt
Filed under: uncultured bacterium
Lineage: Bacteria
Description: partial 16S ribosomal RNA
Rfam family: Bacterial small subunit ribosomal RNA
Source: RNAcentral
GUUGAACGCUAGCGGAAUGCUUUACACAUGCAAGUCGAACGGCAGCACGGAGAGCUUGCUCUCUGGUGGCGAGUGGCGAACGGGUGAGUAAUGUAUCGGAACAUACCCAGUAGCGGGGGAUAACUACUCGAAAGAGUGGCUAAUACCGCAUACGCCCUACGGGGGAAAGGGGGGGAUCUUAGGACCUCUCACUAUUGGAGUGGCCGAUAUCGGAUUAGCUAGUUGGUGGGGUAAAGGCUCACCAAGGCGACGAUCCGUAGCUGGUUUGAGAGGACGACCAGCCACACUGGGACUGAUACACGGCCCAGACUCCUACGGGAGGCAGCAGUGGGGAAUUUUGGACAGUGGGCGAAAGCCUUAUCCAGCCAUUCCGCGUGUGUGAUGAAGGCCUUCGGGUUGUAAAGCACUUUUGUCAGGGAAGAAACAGCGAUGAAUAAUACUUGUCGCGAAUGACGGUACCUGAAGAAUAAGCACCGGCUAACUACGUGCCAGCCGCCGCCGUAA